RNAcentral lists this long non-coding RNA (640 nucleotides) under Spirodela polyrhiza (greater duckweed). Its description in RNAcentral is "long non-coding RNA (SPOL_LNC001423)". The record is from RNAcentral. Lineage: Eukaryota; Viridiplantae; Streptophyta; Magnoliopsida; Alismatales; Araceae.
GCGGCGACGGUGACGUUUCAACCGGCUCCACUAUUGUUGGUUCCGAUCGCGACUUUCAUCUCAUCUUGGUUGCUAACGACGUCUCUCCUUCCGUGCCUCCUUCCUUGACUACAUACCCUGGCGAAAGGGGAUGCGUGCUAUCAGCAGAUGUUAAUCAUUCCACCUCAAUUAGUGAACAAAUUUUUUUUUUACGAUGAAGUCAUUCUCACGAUACUCUGAAACUAAGCUUAUUCAAGAGGAGAAUAUCUACUUUAUUUUAUAACACUCGGAAAAUUCAAGGCCUCGUCUCGUGGUUGGCUGAUCUGAUCAUACUACCUGCCGGCGUUUUAUCCGCUGCUUGCGCUUGCUGUUACUUGAAUUCGCUCUCGUCCUCGGGACUGCCGCCGACGUCGGGGAUAACCACCUGCUGCCCUGCGGAAGAUAUUCCCCGGCGGCCGAAUCGCCGACAGAGCGUGAUGGCAGCGUCGCAUCUUUUCCUCCAGCCUGGUCUUGAUCAUCAUCCAGUGCGUCGAUCUCACGGAUCGCGACGGGAGGAACAAGGAUGAAUGAGACAUCUACGUCGGCCGCUUCCCGAGCUCCGAUCGGACCGUCGGCCUGCAGAAAGAUGGAGGAAACGACGCGGCUUGUACUGGUAUAUCCC